RNAcentral lists this long non-coding RNA (1359 nucleotides) under Marmota monax (woodchuck). Lineage: Eukaryota; Metazoa; Chordata; Mammalia; Rodentia; Sciuridae. The record is from RNAcentral.
UUUUUUUUUUUUUUAGCUUCUCUUCUUUUGAAGCAAGAAAUGAUGCAAACAACAUAGGUACUUCUUUCCUGCUCAAAUAAUUAUGCAGAGCGUUGUUCAGUUAUUCAGCAUCCCAAUUCACUCAGCUGUUUUUCUUUUGUAACUGUCUAUAGAGGGAAGGUGUGUACUACUCCUGAUGUUGUCCUGAAGACUCUGCUGGAUGAAGCCACCCGGUGAUCUGUGCUCCUUGUUAACCAAUGUAACCUCUUUUCUUUGAGAGGUAAAACCAGACCAAGUUCAGUCAUGCCAAUAAUCAUGCCAUAACAUCCAGCUAACUUUGGCACUUUCCAUCUUUGAUAUAAUACGGGAAAAGAAAAAAUCAUCUCCUACACUUACUACUUCAGCUGAAGAAACUACCAAGAGUAUUGAGGCUGCAGUUCCUCACCACCAUGUGAAUCAAAGUUCCUCUGGGUUCCUCACCAUCCGUAUAGAAUGAGAUCCAGUAUUUGAACCCACUUUCCUGAAACAGAGUUCAUUUAGGCUGACUAUCCCCACCCACCCCCUCACCACAACUCACCAGAUGAUGUACAAAGACAGUCGGUCAUAACACUCUUCUCAGAGGUGCAUGGAGCUCACCGACAUUGUCUGGGCCUGUGGUAGCUUUUCUUUCUUUUUUUUGGGGUGAUAAAAAAUAUAUUUUGUAAAUAUAUUUACAAAAACAGAUCUAGUCCACAUGGCUGCUUGAACUAGACAAAGAAAAGAUGGCUUGGAUGGUUUACUUAAGGGGGUACAUCAAAGGCAGGGAUAAAGUUUCAAGGGUGGAGUCUUGCUUUGGAUGUCUUGCAGUCAGCAGGUUGAUUGACAUCUGGACAGGUUACAUCUGUCUCAGGUGCUGUAUGGGCCUGGGAUAGAAAAUCACACUGUCCCUGGGCAAUUGACCAUAGAAAAUGUCCACUGGUCAUUCCCAGACACCAGAUGUUUCUAUCCACUAGGCUUCAAUGCACGGUAACCCACACAGAACCUAUGGAUGGCUCCUGACAAUGAUGGGGUCUUCUACUUUCAAUUAUGAUUUUGCUGCAGCCUAGAUAAGGCCUCAAGAAUCCCUCUCAACAGAGCUCAGAAAAAAAAUAAAUAAAAUAAAAUAAAAAUGUUGUAGAGCAGAUUUGGCAAAAUGCUUCAAUGUGAAGUCCUAAAGUGGGCUGCCCAGAGAGAGGGCCAGGCUCUGUGGUAGCUUUUCUGAUCUCAGGGCCCACAUAUACUGUUCACUUAUCCAUGUGUAGAGCAGGGUAGAGGUGCAGAGGCAGAGAUGGUGUUCUAUAGGCUCUGCCUGGCUGGUGUCUGGGAUGGGUGAGAUAUACAGGAAACUGGCAAUAUGUCCUU